CCUACGGGAGGCAGCAGUGAGGAAUAUUGGUCAAUGGGCUUACGCCUGAACCAGCCAAGUCGCGUGAGGGAAGACUGCCCUAUGGGUUGUAAACCUCUUUUGUCAGGGAGCAACGCCGGCUACGUGUAGCCGGACUGAGAGUACCUGAAGAAAAAGCAUCGGCUAACUCCGUGCCAGCAGCCGCGGUAAUACGGAGGAUGCGAGCGUUCUCCGGAUUUAUUGGGUUUAAAGGGUGCGUAGGCGGAAUGCCAAGUCAGCGGUAAAAUCGCGGGGCUCAACCUCGCUCCGCCGUUGAAACUGGCGGUCUUGAGGGGGCGAGAAGUAGGCGGAAUGCGUGGUGUAGCGGUGAAAUGCAUAGAUAUCACGCAGAACUCCGAUUGCGAAGGCAGCAUACCGGCGCCCAACUGACGCUGAAGCACGAAAGCGUGGGUAUCGAACAGGAUUAGAUACCCCUGUAGUC
This 460-nucleotide ribosomal RNA is filed under the name uncultured bacterium. RNAcentral's name for it is "partial 16S ribosomal RNA". It matches the Rfam family "Bacterial small subunit ribosomal RNA", at positions 338 to 795 of the family's 1533-position model. The record is from RNAcentral.